GCCCAACUGAUAGAUGAUGCUUGCAUCAGCUUGACGUUGGAUUCCCAGUGAGUGGCGGACGGGUGAGUAACACGUGGGUAACCUGCCCCGGAGCGGGGGAUAACAUUUGGAAACAGAUACUAAUACCGCAUAACAACGAAAACCACAUGGUUUUCGUUUAAAAGAUGGCUUAUGCUAUCACUCUGGGAUGGACCCGCGGUGCAUUAGCUAGUUGGUAAGGUAACGGCUUACCAAGGC
RNAcentral lists this ribosomal RNA (237 nucleotides) under Limosilactobacillus rudii. Its description in RNAcentral is "Limosilactobacillus sp. STM3_1 partial 16S ribosomal RNA". It matches the Rfam family "Bacterial small subunit ribosomal RNA", at positions 61 to 274 of the family's 1533-position model. Lineage: Bacteria; Bacillati; Bacillota; Bacilli; Lactobacillales; Lactobacillaceae. The record is from RNAcentral.